This 2904-nucleotide ribosomal RNA is filed under the name Escherichia coli 3-105-05_S1_C2. RNAcentral's name for it is "bacterial LSU rRNA". It matches the Rfam family "Bacterial large subunit ribosomal RNA". The record is from RNAcentral. Lineage: Bacteria; Pseudomonadati; Pseudomonadota; Gammaproteobacteria; Enterobacterales; Enterobacteriaceae.
UUAAGCGACUAAGCGUACACGGUGGAUGCCCUGGCAGUCAGAGGCGAUGAAGGACGUGCUAAUCUGCGAUAAGCGUCGGUAAGGUGAUAUGAACCGUUAUAACCGGCGAUUUCCGAAUGGGGAAACCCAGUGUGUUUCGACACACUAUCAUUAACUGAAUCCAUAGGUUAAUGAGGCGAACCGGGGGAACUGAAACAUCUAAGUACCCCGAGGAAAAGAAAUCAACCGAGAUUCCCCCAGUAGCGGCGAGCGAACGGGGAGCAGCCCAGAGCCUGAAUCAGUGUGUGUGUUAGUGGAAGCGUCUGGAAAGGCGCGCGAUACAGGGUGACAGCCCCGUACACAAAAAUGCACAUGCUGUGAGCUCGAUGAGUAGGGCGGGACACGUGGUAUCCUGUCUGAAUAUGGGGGGACCAUCCUCCAAGGCUAAAUACUCCUGACUGACCGAUAGUGAACCAGUACCGUGAGGGAAAGGCGAAAAGAACCCCGGCGAGGGGAGUGAAAAAGAACCUGAAACCGUGUACGUACAAGCAGUGGGAGCACGCUUAGGCGUGUGACUGCGUACCUUUUGUAUAAUGGGUCAGCGACUUAUAUUCUGUAGCAAGGUUAACCGAAUAGGGGAGCCGAAGGGAAACCGAGUCUUAACUGGGCGUUAAGUUGCAGGGUAUAGACCCGAAACCCGGUGAUCUAGCCAUGGGCAGGUUGAAGGUUGGGUAACACUAACUGGAGGACCGAACCGACUAAUGUUGAAAAAUUAGCGGAUGACUUGUGGCUGGGGGUGAAAGGCCAAUCAAACCGGGAGAUAGCUGGUUCUCCCCGAAAGCUAUUUAGGUAGCGCCUCGUGAAUUCAUCUCCGGGGGUAGAGCACUGUUUCGGCAAGGGGGUCAUCCCGACUUACCAACCCGAUGCAAACUGCGAAUACCGGAGAAUGUUAUCACGGGAGACACACGGCGGGUGCUAACGUCCGUCGUGAAGAGGGAAACAACCCAGACCGCCAGCUAAGGUCCCAAAGUCAUGGUUAAGUGGGAAACGAUGUGGGAAGGCCCAGACAGCCAGGAUGUUGGCUUAGAAGCAGCCAUCAUUUAAAGAAAGCGUAAUAGCUCACUGGUCGAGUCGGCCUGCGCGGAAGAUGUAACGGGGCUAAACCAUGCACCGAAGCUGCGGCAGCGACGCUUAUGCGUUGUUGGGUAGGGGAGCGUUCUGUAAGCCUGUGAAGGUGUACUGUGAGGUAUGCUGGAGGUAUCAGAAGUGCGAAUGCUGACAUAAGUAACGAUAAAGCGGGUGAAAAGCCCGCUCGCCGGAAGACCAAGGGUUCCUGUCCAACGUUAAUCGGGGCAGGGUGAGUCGACCCCUAAGGCGAGGCCGAAAGGCGUAGUCGAUGGGAAACAGGUUAAUAUUCCUGUACUUGGUGUUACUGCGAAGGGGGGACGGAGAAGGCUAUGUUGGCCGGGCGACGGUUGUCCCGGUUUAAGCGUGUAGGCUGGUUUUCCAGGCAAAUCCGGAAAAUCAAGGCUGAGGCGUGAUGACGAGGUACUACGGUGCUGAAGCAACAAAUGCCCUGCUUCCAGGAAAAGCCUCUAAGCAUCAGGUAACAUCAAAUCGUACCCCAAACCGACACAGGUGGUCAGGUAGAGAAUACCAAGGCGCUUGAGAGAACUCGGGUGAAGGAACUAGGCAAAAUGGUGCCGUAACUUCGGGAGAAGGCACGCUGAUACGUAGGUGAAGUCCCUCGCGGAUGGAGCUGAAAUCAGUCGAAGAUACCAGCUGGCUGCAACUGUUUAUUAAAAACACAGCACUGUGCAAACACGAAAGUGGACGUAUACGGUGUGACGCCUGCCCGGUGCCGGAAGGUUAAUUGAUGGGGUUAGCGGUAACGCGAAGCUCUUGAUCGAAGCCCCGGUAAACGGCGGCCGUAACUAUAACGGUCCUAAGGUAGCGAAAUUCCUUGUCGGGUAAGUUCCGACCUGCACGAAUGGCGUAAUGAUGGCCAGGCUGUCUCCACCCGAGACUCAGUGAAAUUGAACUCGCUGUGAAGAUGCAGUGUACCCGCGGCAAGACGGAAAGACCCCGUGAACCUUUACUAUAGCUUGACACUGAACAUUGAGCCUUGAUGUGUAGGAUAGGUGGGAGGCUUUGAAGUGUGGACGCCAGUCUGCAUGGAGCCGACCUUGAAAUACCACCCUUUAAUGUUUGAUGUUCUAACGUUGACCCGUAAUCCGGGUUGCGGACAGUGUCUGGUGGGUAGUUUGACUGGGGCGGUCUCCUCCUAAAGAGUAACGGAGGAGCACGAAGGUUGGCUAAUCCUGGUCGGACAUCAGGAGGUUAGUGCAAUGGCAUAAGCCAGCUUGACUGCGAGCGUGACGGCGCGAGCAGGUGCGAAAGCAGGUCAUAGUGAUCCGGUGGUUCUGAAUGGAAGGGCCAUCGCUCAACGGAUAAAAGGUACUCCGGGGAUAACAGGCUGAUACCGCCCAAGAGUUCAUAUCGACGGCGGUGUUUGGCACCUCGAUGUCGGCUCAUCACAUCCUGGGGCUGAAGUAGGUCCCAAGGGUAUGGCUGUUCGCCAUUUAAAGUGGUACGCGAGCUGGGUUUAGAACGUCGUGAGACAGUUCGGUCCCUAUCUGCCGUGGGCGCUGGAGAACUGAGGGGGGCUGCUCCUAGUACGAGAGGACCGGAGUGGACGCAUCACUGGUGUUCGGGUUGUCAUGCCAAUGGCACUGCCCGGUAGCUAAAUGCGGAAGAGAUAAGUGCUGAAAGCAUCUAAGCACGAAACUUGCCCCGAGAUGAGUUCUCCCUGACCCUUUAAGGGUCCUGAAGGAACGUUGAAGACGACGACGUUGAUAGGCCGGGUGUGUAAGCGCAGCGAUGCGUUGAGCUAACCGGUACUAAUGAACCGUGAGGCUUAACCUU